GUGGGGAAUAUUGCACAAUGGGCGCAAGCCUGAUGCAGCCAUGCCGCGUGUGUGAAGAAGGCCUUCGGGUUGUAAAGUACUUUCAGCGAGGAGGAAGGUGUUGUGGUUAAUAACCACAGCAAUUGACGUUACUCGCAGAAGAAGCACCGGCUAACUCCGUGCCAGCAGCCGCGGUAAUACGGAGGGUGCAAGCGUUAAUCGGAAUUACUGGGCGUAAAGCGCACGCAGGCGGUCUGUCAAGUCGGAUGUGAAAUCCCCGGGCUCAACCUGGGAACUGCAUCCGAAACUGGCAGGCUAGAGUCUUGUAGAGGGGGGUAGAAUUCCAGGUGUAGCGGUGAAAUGCGUAGAGAUCUGGAGGAAUACCGGUGGCGAAGGCGGCCCCCUGGACAAAGACUGACGCUCAGGUGCGAAAGCGUGGGGAGCAAACAGGAUUAGAAACCCUGGUAGUCC
This 450-nucleotide ribosomal RNA is filed under the name uncultured bacterium. RNAcentral describes it as "partial 16S ribosomal RNA". It matches the Rfam family "Bacterial small subunit ribosomal RNA", at positions 354 to 796 of the family's 1533-position model. The record is from RNAcentral.